GGGCUCUGCCCCAGUCAGCCCUGGCUCAGUGGGGGAGGCUGCCCCCUCUCUGGACACAUUCCAGCUGCCAGCAGUAAGGAAGUAACCAUGGGAACCGACACAAAGGGCUGAAUGUCAAAAAGGUGGUGGGCCAUGGGGAAGGGGCUCAGAGGGGCUCAGUGAGCCAGAGAAGACCAAUGUGGAGCUUGCACUAGGCAAAACAGCCAGGCACAAGGCCUCAAGGGUGUCAGGACAACUGGGAGGGAUCUUCGUAGGAUCUUUUCCAGAGUCCUUUCUCCCCCUGCAGAGAGCAAUGCUGCCCUGAACUAACAGGGACCAUAUGCUUGGACAGAACUGGCAAAGAGCUGCAUUUCUGCAAGCACAGGGCUGCAGGCGAUGCUUGGCUAAUGGCUCCUCCCUGCACCACCUGGCCUCAGCCCAGUGUCUCCAGCACCACCCACUCUACAUGCUGUGCUUCUGGGUAGAUCUGUGAAUGGUUGAGCAAGUGGUCCUGGGAUUCCACUUUCCUGGUCAACCCUGCACCACACGAAGGAGCAGCUGGGAUGUCGCAUAAUAAUGACUCGGGGAUGUGGAUUGACAAGGGCCACUGGGGUAAGGCCUGAAGGACAAAGCCAGAGAAGGCCAUUUGACACGGGUCUUUUGAGAGGCUGGGGAACGAAUCUGACACGUUUGCUGCCUCCUCCUAUGGAAGACGGAAGACCCAUUAGCCAGGUAAGAACACACUCAGGGAGUCACUAGCUCCUUCUCUGCCACCUCUCCUUUCCCAUAGCCGAUAAACCCUACACGAGCUUCACUUGCUGUGUCAUUCUUCUUGCAUCUAAAAGGCAAAGGCAAUUAGCA
This 840-nucleotide long non-coding RNA is filed under the name Fukomys damarensis (Damara mole-rat). RNAcentral describes it as "lncRNA (ENSFDAG00000025376.1)". The record is from RNAcentral. Lineage: Eukaryota; Metazoa; Chordata; Mammalia; Rodentia; Bathyergidae.